Molecule: ribosomal RNA, 484 nt
Filed under: uncultured bacterium
Lineage: Bacteria
Description: partial 16S ribosomal RNA
Rfam family: Bacterial small subunit ribosomal RNA
Source: RNAcentral
AUUGAACGCUGGCGGAAUGCUUUACACAUGCAAGUCGAGCGGCAGCGCGGCCUUCGGGCUGGCGGCGAGCGGCGAACGGGUGAGUAAUGCAUCGGAACAUGCCCAGUCGUGGGGGAUAACACUUCGAAAGAAGUGCUAAUACCGCAUACGUCCUGAGGGGGAAAGCGGGGGAUCGCAAGACCUCGCGCGAUUGGAGUGGCCGAUGUCAGAUUAGCUAGUUGGUGGGGUAAAGGCCUACCAAGGCGACGAUCUGUAGCUGGUCUGAGAGGAUGAUCAGCCACACUGGGACUGAGACACGGCCCAGACUCCUACGGGAGGCAGCAGUGGGGAAUUUUGGACAAUGGGGGCAACCCUGAUCCAGCCAUUCCGCGUGAGUGAAGAAGGCCUUCGGGUUGUAAAGCUCUUUCGGCAGGAACGAAACGGUGGGCUCUAACAUAGCCCGCUAAUGACGGUACCUGAAGAAGAAGCACCGGCUAACUACGUG